GUUGGAAGCAAGGACAGGGAUAGGAAGAGCUUCUAAACACUUGCAGGCAGGAGCAGUGGAACAGAAAGAAAUAUUACAUGAGUGACAUGACUUUACUUUUGUGAAGAGCAACUAAUGACUAGGAAGAGCAUGUGCAUUCAAACUUGUUAAUUCAUUGAUUUGAGUUGAAGGGAGGGGGACAUGCUUGGUGGAAAAGUUAAAGUGCUCCGGGUGAGAAAUUCACAGGGCAAAGAUGUUAAUAGCAAUGGGGAAAAAAAUAACGCUUCUCCAGUGCUAGGCAAACGGCCAUAUCCAUCAGGAGUAAAGAAAACGAGUAAGUUCCCACACAUGGCUGCCUUUAUCUCUUUCAUUUGAAUAAGUUAUUGAAUUUACUAUGUGCAAGGUUGUUUGCAAAACAUCUCACACACAUUCCCUUAUUUAAUUCUCAUAAAAAUCUAAAAUUUAUAUAUUUAAGCCUCCCAACUACCCAGCGAGAGAGUUAAUAAUAUGCUCCUUCCACAGGGAGAAAAGUGAAGCUCAGAGAGUUUAUUUACCUAAAGUUUUAUAGGGAGGAAAUCAUUUCUUGUAACCAUCUGUGUCAGCUAGGUCUUCCAGGAAGCAGGUGAGGAGACCGAGUGAAGAACACAAACAGUUGAUUCAGGUGAAAAGCCUGUUAAAGAAAAAAGGGAGAAUCAGCAGCUUGGACAGAUAAAGCCUUUGGGCCAUGAUAUUAAUCUGAUACUUGUGAAAAACAAACAAAAAAGGU
Macaca mulatta (Rhesus monkey) is the source of this 745-nucleotide non-coding RNA. The record is from RefSeq and is a predicted model, not a curated record. Lineage: Eukaryota; Metazoa; Chordata; Mammalia; Primates; Cercopithecidae.